UAGCCGUAAACGAUACUCGCUAGGUGUCGGCCACGGUGCGACCGUUGUCGGUGCCGUAGGGAAGCCGUGAAGCGAGCCACCUGGGAAGUACGGCCGCAAGGCUGAAACUUAAGGAAUUGGCGGGGAGCACCACAACGGGUGGAGCUUGCGGUUUAAUUGGAUUCAACGCCGGAAAUCUUACCGGGACCGACAGCAACAUGAAGGCCAGGCUGAAGACUUUGCCGGAUUAGCUGAGAGGUGGUGCAUGGCGUAGUCGUGU
Molecule: ribosomal RNA, 259 nt
Filed under: uncultured archaeon
Lineage: Archaea
Description: partial 16S ribosomal RNA
Rfam family: Archaeal small subunit ribosomal RNA
Source: RNAcentral